GCCGGGCGUGGUGGCUCACGCCCGUAAUCCCAGCACUUUGGGAGGCCGAGGCGGGUGGAUCACCUGAGGUCAGGAGUUCGAGACCAUCCAGCCUGAUCAACAUGGUGAAACCCCGUCUCUA
This is an unclassified non-coding RNA of Pongo abelii (Sumatran orangutan), 121 nucleotides long. It matches the Rfam family "Metazoan signal recognition particle RNA". From Rfam's summary of the family: The signal recognition particle (SRP) is a universally conserved ribonucleoprotein. It is involved in the co-translational targeting of proteins to membranes. Lineage: Eukaryota; Metazoa; Chordata; Mammalia; Primates; Hominidae. The record is from Ensembl.